Molecule: long non-coding RNA, 1766 nt
Filed under: Salmo salar (Atlantic salmon)
Lineage: Eukaryota; Metazoa; Chordata; Actinopteri; Salmoniformes; Salmonidae
Description: lncRNA (ENSSSAG00000097948.1)
Source: RNAcentral
CUGAUACCAUGUCAGAAGUGGUUCUAGGUAUGUAUUGUUGGAGAGUGAUACCAUGUCAGAAGUGGUUCUAGGUAUGUAUGGUUGGAGAGAGCGAUACCAUGUCAGAAGUGGUUCUAGGUAUGUAUUGUUGGAGAGAGCGAUAACAUGUCAGAAGUGGUUCUAGGUAUGUAUUGUUGGAGAGAGUGAUACCAUGUCAGAAGUGGUUCUAGGUAUGUAUUGUUGGAGAGUGAUACCAUGUCAGAAGUGGUUCUAGGUAUGCAUUGUUGGAGAGUGAUACCAUGUCAGAAGUGGUUCUAGGUAUGUAUUGUUGGAGACUGAUACCAUGUCAGAAGUGGUUCUAGCUAUGUAUUGUUGGAGAGAGUGAUACUAUGUCAGAAGUGGUUCCAGGUAUGUAUUGUUGGAGAGAGUGAUACCACAUCAGAAGUGGUUGCUAUGUAUGUAUUGUUGGAGAGAGUGAUACCAUGUCAGAAGUGGUUCUAGGUAUGUAUUGUUGGAGACUGAUACCAUGUCAGAAGUGGUUCUAGGUAUGUAUUGUUGGAGAGUGAUACCACGUCAGAAGCUGUUCUAGGUAUGUAUUGUUGGAGACUGAUACCAUGUCAGAAGUGGUUCUAGGUAUGUAUUGUUGGAGAGUGAUACCACGUCAGAAGCUGUUCUCGGUAUGUAUUGUUGGAGAGUGAUACCAUGUCAGAAGUGGUUCUAGGUAUGUAUUGUUGGAGAGAGUGAUACCAUGUCAGAAGUGGUUCUAGGUAUGUAUUGUUGGAGAGUGAUACCAUGUCAGAAGUGGUUCUAGGUAUGUAUUGUUGGAGAGAGUGAUACCAUGUCAGAAGUGGUUCUAGGUAUGUAUUGUUGGAGUGAGUGAUACCAUGUCAGAAGUGGUUCUAGGUAUGUAUUGUUGGAGAGUGAUACCAUGUCAGAAGUGGUUCUAGGUAUGUAUUGUUGGAGAGUGAUACCAUGUCAGAAGUGGUUCUAGGUAUGUAUUGUUGGAGAGAGUGAUACCAUGUCAGAAGUUGUUCUAUGUAUGUAUUGUUGGAGAGAGUGAUACCAUGUCAGAAGUUGUUCUAGGUAUGUAUUGUUGGAGAGUGAUACCAUGUCAGAAGUGGUUCUAGGUAUGUAUUGUUGGAGAGAGCGAUACCAUGUCAGAAGUGGUUCUAGGUAUGUAUUGUUGGAGAGAGUGAUACCAUGUCAGAAGUGGUUCUAGGUAUGUAUUGUUGGAGAGAGCGAUACCAUGUCAGAAGUGGUUCUAGGUAUGUAUUGUUAGAGAGUGAUACCACGUCAGAAGUGGUUCCAGGUAUGUAUUGUUAGAGAGUGAUACCAUGCUUGUCUGAAGUGUUUACAGGUCAGAGGUCAUAGGACCACUAAGGGCUGAGGCCUAGAUAAGACACCCAGGAACCCUGAUCCAUCGUAAUGCUACCCUGGACACCCAGAGACCCUGGUCCAUAGUAAUGCCCUAUAUAGGGAGAAGGGUUCCAUUUGGGACGCAGAGCCAAAGUCUCAGUCUGGGCGGAGGUCCUCAAAGAUACAUUAUACAGUCCACAUUGUGUGGUCCUUUGUGCUUUUAUUUCAGUCAGAUACAUUAUACAGUCCACAUUUUUUGUGGUCCUUUGUGCUUUUAUUUGAGACAUUCCUGAGAUGUUUUACAUCUCAUACCUCUUUUGUCUCGCUGGCCGGUCUACAUUAGACAGAUCUACGAUAACAACUAGCUAUGCAGAAAUCUGAAGAAUUUGAAACUUUAUAUUAUCAAACUGAUGUUCUGUGUAUAUCUAUUU